AGUGAACGCUGGCGGUAGGCCUAACACAUGCAAGUCGAACGGCAGCACAGUAAGAGCUUGCUCUUACGGGUGGCGAGUGGCGGACGGGUGAGGAAUACAUCGGAAUCUACUUUUUCGUGGGGGAUAACGUAGGGAAACUUACGCUAAUACCGCAUACGACCUACGGGUGAAAGCAGGGGAUCUUCGGACCUUGCGCGAUUGAAUGAGCCGAUGUCGGAUUAGCUAGUUGGCGGGGUAAAGGCCCACCAAGGCGACGAUCCGUAGCUGGUCUGAGAGGAUGAUCAGCCACACUGGAACUGAGGCACGGUCCAGACUCCUACGGGGGGCAGCAGUGGGGAAUAUUGGACAAAGGGCGCAAGCCUGAUCCAGCCAUACCGCGUGGGUGAAGAAGGCCUUCGGGUUGUAAAGCCCUUUUGUUGGGAAAGAAAAGCAGCAGGUUAAUACCCCGCUGUUCUGACGGUACCCAAAGAAUAAGCACCGGCUAACUUCGUG
RNAcentral lists this ribosomal RNA (492 nucleotides) under uncultured bacterium. Its description in RNAcentral is "partial 16S ribosomal RNA". It matches the Rfam family "Bacterial small subunit ribosomal RNA", at positions 29 to 507 of the family's 1533-position model. The record is from RNAcentral.